This is a long non-coding RNA of Peromyscus californicus insignis, 595 nucleotides long. RefSeq lists it as uncharacterized. The record is from RefSeq and is a predicted model, not a curated record. The transcript has 3 exons. NCBI's taxonomy places the organism in Eukaryota, Metazoa, Chordata, Mammalia, Rodentia, Cricetidae.
CAUCCGGUUAGAGCCACUCAGCAGCACCGUUCAGUUCUCUACGGAAAGUGCACGCUCUUCCCGGCGGCUCCGGGGAAAGUGGGGAGCCGUCCCCUAGGUCUGCGCGCAGGCAACAAUCACAGGUUUGAAAGACAAGCCACCCUAACAGUAAGAGACGAAUGAAGGAUGGGAAGAGGCAAGUGACAGUCGGACGGUGUGCCUGUGUGUCAGAAGAGGGCACCAGAUCUCACUACUGAUGUUUGUGAGCCACCAUGUGGUUGCUGGGAAUUGAACUCAGGACCUCUGGAAGAGCAGUCAGUGCUCUUAACCUCUGAGCCAUCUCUCCAGCCCUGAAACUACUUUGAAUCCAGAUCUUCUGAGGUGGGAAGAUACAGCUUCCGCUGGCAGCCUACAGAAAGACCAUGGAAGAAAGGAGGUUGCUCUUUCCCCUCAGUGCUCUCGCUCUCACUGGCAACUCUACUCCUUCACUGAUAUUAGAGCCUGUUUCUUUGGAACUGUGACAUAUACUGAAGACAAGGUGAGACAUCCAGCCUAAUGGACUGAAAGACUGGUGGAUUCUUGGACCUUCUGUUGGUAGACAGCCAUUGUGACUGGU